Molecule: ribosomal RNA, 774 nt
Filed under: uncultured Neocallimastigales
Lineage: Eukaryota; Fungi; Neocallimastigomycota; Neocallimastigomycetes; Neocallimastigales
Description: partial large subunit ribosomal RNA
Rfam family: Eukaryotic large subunit ribosomal RNA
Source: RNAcentral
GAGACUCUGUGCGCGUGCAUAUCAAUAAGCGGAGGAAAAGAAACUAACAAGGAUUCCCCUAGUAACGGCGAGUGAAGCGGGAAGAGCUCAAAUUUGAAAUCUUAAAGGGUUUCCCUUUACGAAUUGUAGUUUAAAGAAGUGUUUUCUGUCGAAGUUUUGGUAAAAGUUCUUUGGAAUAGGACAUCAUAGAGGGUGAGAAUCCCGUAUUUGACCAUUAUUUUCAGCUGUGUGAUACACUUUCAAAGAGUCGGAUUGUUUGGGAAUGCAGUCCAAAAUGGGUGGUAAAUUUCAUCUAAAGCUAAAUAUUGGCGAGAGACCGAUAGCGAACAAGUACCGUGAGGGAAAGAUGAAAAGAACUUUGAAAAGAGAGUUAAACAGUACGUGAAAUUGUCAAAAGGGAAGCGUUUGACACCAGUGUUGUUUAGUUGAAAAUCAAUUCAAUAGUUUUUGAUCCUAAGUAGUAUUGACUUCAUCAGCUUGCUGCUUUCUUCUCAGAAAUUAUUGAAUGCACUUUUCAGUUAACAAGUCAACAUCAAUUUCUUUUGUUGUAAAAGGGUAAGAGGAAGGUGGCUUGCGCUUCGGCUCAAGUGUUUAUAGCCUUUUAUCUCUGCAAUCGGAGAGACUGAGGUCUGCAGCGUAGAUCCUUCGGGGUUAGAUACAUUGGUGCUAAGCUAUAGCCUUGUAUAGACAACUUGUUGACUAUGCUCAGUCAUGUAGCUUACUCGCUGAUGCUAUUUUACCUACGCUUAGGAUGUUGACAGCAGUAUAGACUGU